Molecule: ribosomal RNA, 468 nt
Filed under: uncultured bacterium
Lineage: Bacteria
Description: partial 16S ribosomal RNA
Rfam family: Bacterial small subunit ribosomal RNA
Source: RNAcentral
GACGAACGCUGGCGGCGUGCUUAACACAUGCAAGUCGAACGGAAAGGCCCUGCUUUUGUGGGGUGCUCGAGUGGCGAACGGGUGAGUAACACGUGAGUAACCUGCCCUUGACUUUGGGAUAACUUCAGGAAACUGGGGCUAAUACCGGAUAGGAGCUCCUGCUGCAUGGUGGGGGUUGGAAAGUUUCGGCGGUUGGGGAUGGACUCGCGGCUUAUCAGCUUGUUGGUGGGGUAGUGGCUUACCAAGGCUUUGACGGGUAGCCGGCCUGAGAGGGUGAUCGGCCACAUUGGGACUGAGAUGCGGCCCAGACUCCUACGGGAGGCAGCAGUGGGGAAUAUUGCACAAUGGGCGGAAGCCUGAUGCAGCAACGCCGCGUGCGGGAUGACGGCCUUCGGGUUGUAAACCGCUUUCGCCUGUGACGAAGCGUGAGUGACGGUAAUGGGUAAAGAAGCACCGGCUAACUACGUG